UUGGUGGGGUAAAAGCCUACCAAGGCGACGAUCUGUAGCUGGUUUGAGAGGACGAUCAGCCACACUGGGACUGAGACACGGCCCAGACUCCUACGGGAGGCAGCAGUAGGGAAUAUUGGACAAUGGGCGAAAGCCUGAUCCAGCAAUGCCGCGUGUGUGAAGAAGGCCUGUGGGUUGUAAAGCACUUUCAGUUGGGAAGAAAAGCUUAGGAUUAAUACUUCUAAGUCUUGACAUCACCAAUAGAAGAAGCACCGGCUAACUCCGUGCCAGCAGCCGCGGUAAUACGGAGGGUGCGAGCGUUAAUCGGAAUUACUGGGCGUAAAGCGUGCGUAGGCGGUUAAGUAAGUCGGAUGUGAAAGCCCAAGGCUUAACCUUGGAAUUGCAUUCGAUACUGCUUGGCUAGAGUACAGUAGAGGGAAGCGGAAUUUCUAGUGUAGCGGUGAAAUGCGUAGAUAUUAGAAAGAACACCAGUGGCGAAGGCGGCUUUCUGGACUGAUACUGACGCUGAGGUACGAAAGCGUGGGGAGCAAACAGGAUUAGAUACCCUGGUAGUCCACGCCCUAAACGAUGAGAACUAGAUGUUGGAGGAAAUUGAUCCUUUAGUAUCGUAGCUAACGCGCUAAGUUCUCCGCCUGGGGAGUACGACCGCAAGGUUAAAACUCAAAUGAAUUGACGGGGGCCCGCACAAGCGGUGGAGCAUGUGGUUUAAUUCGAUGCAACGCGAAGAACCUUACCUGGCCUUGACAUCCUCGGAACCUUGCUGAAAGGCAAGGGUGCCUUCGGGAACCGAGAGACAGGUGCUGCAUGGCUGUCGUCAGCUCGUGUCGUGAGAUGUUGGGUUAAGUCCCGCAACGAGCGCAACCCUUAUCCCUAGUUGCCAGCGAUUCGGUCGGGAACUCUAGAGAGACUGCCGGUGACAAACCGGAGGAAGGUGGGGACGACGUCAAGUCAUCAUGGCCCUUACGGCCAGGGCUACACACGUGCUACAAUGGGUAGUACAGAGGGUUGCAAACCCGCGAGGGGGAGCUAAUCUCACAAAACUACUCGUAGUCCGGAUUGGAGUCUGCAACUCGACUCCAUGAAGUCGGAAUCGCUAGUAAUCGCGAAUCAGCAUGUCGCGGUGAAUACGUUCCCGGGCCUUGUACAAAAUAAAGGCGCCUGGCAGUUUAUUAGACUAGGUGGUGAAAAUCCAUCUAUCCGCUUUCGGACAGCGGAUAUAGGGAAGGAUAGGACACGUUCCGCGAGGAAGUGUCUGAAGGAUCUGGAACAAAUGGUAGUCUCAGUCAAAAAGGGCGUUGUGACUCAUGUGUGUACCAUGAGGAAGCAACAGACCGUAAAGCCUGCUGGGAAUGUCAGAAAUAGCCUAAUAAAUGACCCAGGGAUAUCCUGUCGUUUAGAGAACCACUCAUACGACGGCAGGAAGUCAGCAGAGUCAUAGUAGCCGAUACGUCGGCAAAGGAUGAAACCUAUGAGAGAAAUCUCACCAGAGAACAUUUCAGGGUUUGUAGUAGGUGAAGGAUGUUUUUAUGUGGAAAGUGGUAGAGACCCUAAGUACAAGUUAGGGCAUAGAGUAAGAGCCGCUUUUUGCAUUGAACUAAGAGAAGAUGAUCAAGAGAUACUUGAGGCCAUUCAAAAAACCUUAGAAUGUGGCAAUAUUUACCAGCUUGAUUUUGGUAGAUACAAAGGCUACCAAAAAAAGGGUUGGAGACCUCAUGUUAAAUAUAGAGUGAGCAAUCAAAAUGAUAUCAUUCACAAGAUCAUCCCUUUCUUUGAAAGGUAUCCACUUUUUGGUAAAAAGCAAAAAUCGUUUGAUGUUUUUAUCAAGAUUGUGGAUAAAAUAAAACUCAAAGAGCAUCUAACGCCAGAGGGUUUAGAAAAAACUAAGUUAUUGGUUUCUGAACUCAAAGCACUGAAUAAGAAAGGCAUGUAGGACUCGCUGGAUGCGCUAGACACGCUUGUCCAGUGGGAACGCGACAAUGGUUCUAAUGAUCGCAAUCACCGCCCGUCACACCAUGGAAGUGGGCUGUACCAGAAGUAGGUAGUCUAACCGCAAGGAGGACGCUUACCACGGUAUGGUUCAUGACUGGGGUGAAGUUUAACGGCUUCCUAUGCGAGUAAUUGCAUAGUAAAAUCCAACUAUAUCGGUGAACCCCUAACUGACUGACUGUACAAGCAGUGGGCAAUGCCGAGGGAAGUUGGGCUAGAAGAUAGAAAUGUCUCAAACUAAGCUUGGUAAUCAAAUCAAACAAACACGCUUAACUCCUCUUGAAAAAGAGGUAAUUGUAGGGUGUUUGCUUGGAGAUGGAACACUGUCUCAAUCCGGUAGAUAUUACCGAUUGCGAGUGGAACAUGCUUCCAAAGAUCGGGAGUAUGUGGAGUGGAAAUAUAACUUGCUUAAACGGCUUUGUAUAUCAGGUAUUAAGCCUGUUUCUGCUCAUCGUUCGCUCAGAUUUGGUACAGUGGGUCAUCCAGAAAUGACAGAACUUAGGAAGACUUGGUAUCAACCUGUAAAACAAGUACCCAAUCAAUUAAUAUUAACACCAUUAAUGAUUGCUAUUUGGUUUAUGGAUGAUGGUACUAAACACAGAGACACCGUUGAUAUAUCGGUUCAUAAUUUUUCUGAUAGCAGUUUGCAAAUUUUGAGGAACCAAUUAUUGAAUUAUGGUGUUUUUACGACCAUUAAUUCAGACUCAAAAGGACACAGAUUGUAUUUUUUGAAGAAAAGUUAUCCUAUCUUUGAAAAGCUUGCUAAACCGUACAUUGUAAAAUGUAUGACACGUAAGUUGCCUUAACCCCGUAGAGGCCAUACGUAGGCUCCUUUGAAAAAAGGAUGAAGACAUGGUCCGACACCCUUAGUAAUAAGGGCUAAAACAGCAAGCGUAACAAGGUAGCCGUAGGGGAACCUGCGGCUGGAUCACCUCCUUUAAAGA
This 2930-nucleotide ribosomal RNA is filed under the name Candidatus Thiophysa hinzei. RNAcentral's name for it is "bacterial SSU rRNA". The stretch from base 1 to 1197 matches the Rfam family "Bacterial small subunit ribosomal RNA", at positions 249 to 1533 of the family's 1533-position model. The record is from RNAcentral. Lineage: Bacteria; Pseudomonadati; Pseudomonadota; Gammaproteobacteria; Thiotrichales; Thiotrichaceae.